This 1505-nucleotide ribosomal RNA is filed under the name metagenome. RNAcentral's name for it is "bacterial SSU rRNA". It matches the Rfam family "Bacterial small subunit ribosomal RNA". The record is from RNAcentral.
AGAGUUUGAUCCUGGCUCAGGACGAACGCUGGCGGCGUGCCUAAUACAUGCAAGUAGAACGCUGAAGGGAGGAGCUUGCUCUUCUUGGAUGAGUUGCGAACGGGUGAGUAACGCGUAGGUAACCUGCCUUGUAGCGGGGGAUAACUAUUGGAAACGAUAGCUAAUACCGCAUAACAAUGGAUGACACAUGUCAUUUAUUUGAAAGGGGCAAUUGUUCCACUACAAGAUGGACCUGCGUUGUAUUAGCUAGUAGGUGAGGUAAUGGCUCACCUAGGCGACGAUACAUAGCCGACCUGAGAGGGUGAUCGGCCACACUGGGACUGAGACACGGCCCAGACUCCUACGGGAGGCAGCAGUAGGGAAUCUUCGGCAUGGGGGCAACCCUGACCGAGCAACGCCGCGUGAGUGAAGAAGGUUUUCGGAUCGUAAAGCUCUGUUGUAAGUCAAGAACGGGUGUGAGAGUGGAAAGUUCACACUGUGACGGUAGCUUACCAGAAAGGGACGGCUAACUACGUGCCAGCAGCCGCGGUAAUACGUAGGUCCCGAGCGUUGUCCGGAUUUAUUGGGCGUAAAGCGAGCGCAGGCGGUUUGAUAAGUCUGAAGUUAAAGGCUGUGGCUCAACCAUAGUUCGCUUUGGAAACUGUCAAACUUGAGUGCAGAAGGGGAGAGUGGAAUUCCAUGGGUAGCGGUGAAAUGCGUAGAUAUAUGGAGGAACACCGGUGGCGAAAGCGGCUCUCUGGUCUGUAACUGACGCUGAGGCUCGAAAGCGUGGGGAGCGAACAGGAUUAGAUACCCUGGUAGUCCACGCCGUAAACGAUGAGUGCUAGGUGUUGGAUCCUUUCCGGGAUUCAGUGCCGCAGCUAACGCAUUAAGCACUCCGCCUGGGGAGUACGACCGCAAGGUUGAAACUCAAAGGAAUUGACGGGGGCCCGCACAAGCGGUGGAGCAUGUGGUUUAAUUCGAAGCAACGCGAAGAACCUUACCAGGUCUUGACAUCCCGAUGCUAUUUCUAGAGAUAGAAAGUUACUUCGGUACAUCGGUGACAGGUGGUGCAUGGUUGUCGUCAGCUCGUGUCGUGAGAUGUUGGGUUAAGUCCCGCAACGAGCGCAACCCCUAUUGUUAGUUGCCAUCAUUCAGUUGGGCACUCUAGCGAGACUGCCGGUAAUAAACCGGAGGAAGGUGGGGAUGACGUCAAAUCAUCAUGCCCCUUAUGACCUGGGCUACACACGUGCUACAAUGGUUGGUACAACGAGUUGCGAGUCGGUGACGGCGAGCUAAUCUCUUAAAGCCAAUCUCAGUUCGGAUUGUAGGCUGCAACUCGCCUACAUGAAGUCGGAAGCGCUAGUAAUCGCGGAUCAGCACGCCGCGGUGAAUACGUUCCCGGGCCUUGUACACACCGCCCUUCACACCACGAGAGUUUGUAACACCCGAAGUCGGUGAGGUAACCUUUUGGAGCCAGCCGCCUAAGGUGGGACAGAUGAUUGGGGUGAAGUCGUAACAAGGUA